This 61-nucleotide transfer RNA is filed under the name Ligilactobacillus salivarius. RNAcentral's name for it is "Lactobacillus salivarius tRNA-Ser". It matches the Rfam family "tRNA". From Rfam's summary of the family: Transfer RNA (tRNA) molecules are approximately 80 nucleotides in length. The record is from RNAcentral. Lineage: Bacteria; Bacillati; Bacillota; Bacilli; Lactobacillales; Lactobacillaceae.
AGCGAUGUAGCUCAACGGUAGAGCAAGGCAUGGGAUACAGGUUCGACUCCUGUCAUCACUA